GCUGGCGGCAGGCCUAACACAUGCAAGUCGAACGGCAGCACAGUAAGAGCUUGUUUUAUGGGUGGCGAGUGGCGGACGGGUGAGGAAUACAUCGGAAUCUACUCUUUCGUGGGGGAUAACGUAGGGAAACUUACGCUAAUACCGCAUACGACCUACGGGUGAAAGCGGAGGACCUUCGGGCUUCGCGCGAUUGAAUGAGCCGAUGUCGGAUUAGCUAGUUGGCGGGGUAAAGGCCCACCAAGGCGACGAUCCGUAGCUGGUCUGAGAGGAUGAUCARCCGGUACACUGGAACUGAGACACGGUCCAGACUCCUACGGGAGGCAGCAGUGGGGAAUAUUGGACAAUGGGCGCAAGCCUGAUCCAGCCAUGCCGCGUGGGUGAAGAAGGCCUUCGGGUUGUAAAGCCCUUUUGUUGGGAAAGAAAAGCAGUCGGUUAAUACCCGAUUGUUCUGACGGUACCCAAAGAAUAAGCACCGGCUAACUUCGUGCCAGCUUAGCCGCGGUAAUACGAAGGGUGCAAGCGUUACUCGGAAUUACUGGGCGUAAAGCGUGCGUAGGUGGUGGUUUAAGUCUGUUGUGAAAGCCCUGGGCUCAACCUGGGAAUUGCAGUGGAUACUGGRUCACUAGAGUGUGGUUUAGAGGGUAGYGGAAUUCCCGGUGUAGCAGUGAAAUGCGUWGAGAUCGGGAGGAACAUCCGUGGCGAAGGCGCUACCUGGACCAACACUGACACUGAGGCACGAAAGCGUGGGGAGCAAACAGGAUUAGAUACCCUGGUAGUCCACGCCCUAAACGAUGCGAACUGGAUGUUGGGUGCAAUUUGGCACGCAGUAUCGAAGCUAACGCGUUGGAAGUUCGCCGCCUGGGGAGUACGGUCGCAAGACUGAAACUCAAAGGAAUUGACGGGGGCCCGCACAAGCGGGUUGUGGAGUAUGUGGUUUAAUUCGAUGCAACGCGAAGAACCUUACCUGGUCUUGACAUCCACGGAACUUUCCGUGGUAAGGAGACCGCCGGUGACAAACCGGAGGAAGGUGGGGAUGACGUCAAGUCAUCAUGGCCCUUACGACCAGUUGGCUACACACGUACUACAAUGGUAGGGACAGAGGGCUGCAAACCCGCGAGG
This 1119-nucleotide ribosomal RNA is filed under the name uncultured Xanthomonas sp. RNAcentral's name for it is "bacterial SSU rRNA". It matches the Rfam family "Bacterial small subunit ribosomal RNA", at positions 35 to 1262 of the family's 1533-position model. The record is from RNAcentral. Lineage: Bacteria; Pseudomonadati; Pseudomonadota; Gammaproteobacteria; Lysobacterales; Lysobacteraceae.